RNAcentral lists this ribosomal RNA (255 nucleotides) under uncultured bacterium. Its description in RNAcentral is "partial 16S ribosomal RNA". It matches the Rfam family "Bacterial small subunit ribosomal RNA", at positions 524 to 776 of the family's 1533-position model. The record is from RNAcentral.
UACGUAGGGUGCGAGCGUUGUCCGGAAUUAUUGGGCGUAAAGAGCUCGUAGGCGGUGUGUCACGUCGGCCGUGAAAACCUGCAGCUUAACUGUGGGCGUGCGGUCGAUACGGGCAUCACUGGAGUUCGGCAGGGGAGACUGGAAUUCCUGGUGUAGCGGUGAAAUGCGCAGAUAUCAGGAGGAACACCGGUGGCGAAGGCGGGGUCUCUGGGCCGAUACUGACGCUGAGGAGCGAAGGCGUGGGGAGCGAACAGG